ACGAAUUGCAAAUAUGGUAAGGGCUAUCGGUAUCCAAUACCCAGUCAGUUAUAUCACAAAUAGAAAAAUUGCAAGGAGUUAUCAUAUAAAUACCUUGCCCAGCAACAGCUUGCUUCUUUCUCUAUCUGUUCGGGUCUAGAGAGGUAAUAUACUGAGGACAGUUUCUCUUCCAGUGCUUCUGCUUCUUACAAAAGAAGCAUUCAAUUUGACUCUUAUCGAGCUUGAUCUUUCUGGUCUGGCCCUGCACUGAUGUCCCAGUCUGAACUUGCACCUUCUUCACUUUCUUCUUCUUGUUCUUCUUUUCUUUCUCAAAGGGUCG
RNAcentral lists this long non-coding RNA (319 nucleotides) under Elaeis guineensis (African oil palm). Its description in RNAcentral is "long non-coding RNA (EGUI_LNC072756)". Lineage: Eukaryota; Viridiplantae; Streptophyta; Magnoliopsida; Arecales; Arecaceae. The record is from RNAcentral.